Long non-coding RNA from Alligator sinensis (Chinese alligator), 1944 nucleotides. RefSeq lists it as uncharacterized. The transcript is spliced from 5 exons. The record is from RefSeq and is a predicted model, not a curated record. Lineage: Eukaryota; Metazoa; Chordata; Crocodylia; Alligatoridae.
GCUUUUAGAAUUUGACAGAGAGCUGUCAGUUUUUAAAGACAGAUUGUAUGAACUGGACAUCUCAUUUCCUCCCAGUUACCCAUACAGUGAAGACUGUAGCCAAGGAAAGCAGUACAUGAAUACUAGAUGUCCAGCUUGGUGUGACAGGAUUCUAAUGUCGCAUUCAGCCAAGGAACUGAUUCUAAAAUCAGAAAAUGAUGAGAAGAUAGUGAUAUAUGACCAUAUUGGGCCAAAUGUCUGCAUGGGGGAUCACAAGCCUGUGUUCCUGUCCUUUCGAAUAGCUGCUGGGGCAGGUAAACCUAUUGCAAAUGUGCAAAAGUGUUGUGUCGUGCAGUGAUGUGGUGGAAAAAGAUGCCUACGAAACGAGAAGAUCUUUCGUGAAACCACACUGUAGCAUGGAGGAAGAAAGAAUAAGCAGUAUAUUGAAAUGCAUAAUCGUAACAGCUGUAUUGAUAAAUCAAGUACUGAGUGCCACAUUUUUAGACUGCUGAUCGUACACUAUGCUUCAGCAUCUGGACUCUGUUCGAGAAAAGCCUCACAUACCUCACUGUCUUGUAUGUUCAUGUGACAUCAAGUAGAAAUGUGGAAUUAUUUUUUAUAUAUAUUAUGUCACAGUUUUGUUGCCAAAACUCUAAUAGACAGCAGAGAAAUUCUGUAUUUUAGAUUUCAGAGUUUUCAACUUUUAAUAAAUGUUUGUCAAUGUGGAAAAGCUACUUCAGCAUAUUAUAUAAACUUUUAAAGGUGUCAUGCCUAACCUUAUAUAUCUUUACCACUUGGGGUUUUGUACAUUGGAUUGUACAGAUAGAGAUAUUGAUGGUUUUAAAUGGUAUUUUCUUUGUUGACCAAGGCUUAUGGUUUGUUUUAGUUUUAGAAUUUUGUUUUUCAUUUUUAUAGAUUUUUUUCUCAUGUUAUUUACUAUACUGCCAUGUUACAUGGUUUUGAAUCACACAGCAGCUGCUUUCUAUACAUACAUAUAUAUAUGUGUGUGUGUGUGUAUAUAUAUAUAUGUAUGUGUGUGUAUAUACACAGAUAUAUAAAUAAUUUAUAAACCUUACCAAAACUUAUGCUAAAUAUACUUUCCAAUAUGAAUGCUUGAGAGUGCCAUAUCAGCAGUUAGUGUUGGAGUCUAAUAGUUUUAGUUAAGUGUAUGUCAAGAACCAACAUUUAUAUAACAAAUAAUAUAUAGCGGUGCCAUCAUUGAUACAGAUAUAUAGUAAACUAUAUAGCACAUAUAUUAGCAGUUUCACUUUGUUACUCCUAUAAUACCUUCUUUCUAUGUAAUAUUAAGGAUUGAAUGUGAAGUUUCUAGGUAGGCUUGGGUGUACCUUUCAAGAAUUUUGUAAACUGUUUUUGUCUGUCUUUUGUUACCGUUUUAUGGUGCCAAGUAUUCUAUAUUAAAACAAUAACAACAUGGGAGAAGAAAAUUAGUAGUCUGCAUCAAAUAGCAACUGCAGUGAACACAGACUGAAUCUAUACAUAGUUGUAGAGGAAAAAAGACUGUAAAUUUUCCUAGUUAGUAGCUAUGUGCAACCUACAACAUAACCUUGUUACCACCAUUUUUCUCCCACCACUAAGUACAACAUUAAAAGGUGAUUAGAGAGUCUAUUGAUGAAACACAAAUGUAUGUUUUAUUGAUUUAAUUUAGAACACUACAGAGUUCAUGGACUGUGUGAUGGCAUUAGAUUGAUGCUUGAUUUUGGUAUAAAUCACUACCUUUGAAAAUGAUUUGAUGUCCACUCUAAGAAUGUUUUCGGGACAGUACAAUAUGGGUUUGUAUUAAGUACUGUUAUCCAAAGGUUAUCUGCAGCUCUGUAAUGUCAUUGUGCCAUGUUGCAAUAUAACCACACAAUAAUUCUAUUUAACAUAAGUACAACACACAGUAACUUUGAAGGCCUUUAGAAAUGAAUAUUCUGUUUCUCAAGCAAUAAAACUGAUCAUCAUGGU